This is a long non-coding RNA of Grammomys surdaster, 471 nucleotides long. RefSeq lists it as uncharacterized. NCBI's taxonomy places the organism in Eukaryota, Metazoa, Chordata, Mammalia, Rodentia, Muridae. The transcript has 2 exons. The record is from RefSeq and is a predicted model, not a curated record.
CUUUCUUCCUGAUUUGAUGAGAAUGAAGUUCUCAAUUUCCAAAUGAAAGUUUGGCGCACAAUCUUCCUGCAAGUCAGACUGCAUGGCAAAUUUGUUUCUAGUUUAAGGACUGCCUUGCCUGGCCUCAGGAGAAGAUGCACCUAAUCUGGCAAAGACUUGAUGUACCAGGGUGGGGGGAUACCCAGUGGGAUCCCACCCUCUCAGAGGAGAAGUGGAGGAGAGACAGAAGAAGGGUCUCAGUUGUUGGUGGGGGGACCUGGAAGGGAGGCAGUGCUUGAGAUGUAAAUAAAUAAGAAUAUUAAAUUGUAUAGUGUAUAAGAAAUCAGAAUAUUUGGCACUGAAAAUAGUUUUAAAGAAUGAGACAAUUAUAGCUGCUGUUGCAAUGUACUUUCGUAUGGUGUCUCUUACUUCAAAUUAUUUCUCUACAGUGCAUUUUAGCUUAAAAAAAUAAAAUAGUAUCUUAAACAUUUA